CGGUAGCUGGAUCCGACCGGGGAGCAAUCCCGAACCCAGCCCACUGUCCGCUCAGGAUAAUCAACCCACCUUUGGG
Molecule: regulatory RNA element, 76 nt
Organism: Thauera sp. 27
Lineage: Bacteria; Pseudomonadati; Pseudomonadota; Betaproteobacteria; Rhodocyclales; Zoogloeaceae
Rfam family: DUF3085 RNA
Source: Rfam